GUCUGCCUGCCUCUGCCAUGAGAGUCCUGGGAGUAUAGCCACUCACUACCACUGCCUGGCACCACUGGCCUUCUUUAAUGACGCCAAUUAGCAUGCCAAGGACCCUUGGAUCGCCACCUUCACAGCUGGAGUUCUCUUCAGACUUUUCAAUCUGUCUCCCCUCUCUUCCCAUUUCUUCCCUAACCCACUGCACACCGCCUUCCAUGUUUGCCUCUCCAUUGAAACGACUCCUUUCUAGUUCCGUACGCUAGCCAGCUUCCCUGUGUAAUACAGCCCAAGCUUGGUUUCUGUGACUCGGUUUCUUUGUGAUGAGCCUCUGAUGUGGUCUCUCUGGCUUUCACUGGUCUUGUUUCUCCACCUGACCCUGAUACGCUGAAAUGUCCCUGAGUUGACUUUGUCCUUGGUUAAUUCUAUUCUUGUUCUGCACACUCCUAGCGUGAAUUUAGGUGACAUUUUAUGUAACGACUACAUUGAGGCUUCUGGUUCUCAGGUUUGUUAUCUGAUCUUACAUCUUGAGCUCCAGCCCCUCACAUCUUCCCGGGCGCUCUGCAGGUGCAUCAAAGUCAGUAUGCUCCAUGAGACCCCAGUAUGAGGUCUCCUAACACUUUGUCAUUCUCAGAACAGCACCCAAGAUACCACACCCUCCAUCAUGUUGUGGGCUCCUGAGAGCAGGGCCACAUUCCUUCAUUCAUCUUCCUGUCUCUAGAAUAGAUCCUGGAACACAGUAGGUGCUCAAUUAGUGUAAAUUGAGUGAAUAAAUGAAGGACAUGUUUAUCUCAAAGUUAAGAGAUGCACAACUGUAUAUUUGAGUAUCUUAUGUUAUAGCACUCAGCAAAGUCCAGCAAACCAUCUCUGGAUAUGGGACUUUCUUUCUGAUAGUCUUUCCAGAGAAGCUUGAUGCUAUGGAAUUUCCUGUGGUGAUAGGGAGGGCUUUCAUCUGCGAGGUCCAGUUUAGUAGUCAUCAACAGCAUGUGACGACUGAGACUAGAAACAGCUUAAGGACAUGAAAAUGUUAUUUUAUUUAGUUUCAAUUCAUUUAAGUCUAACUAGGCAAGAUGGCCAGUGGCUGCUAAAUUAAACUAUAAUUUAAUUAAUUGUUUUAAAGAGCAGUUUCUUCAUAGCUAUCCUGAUACCACACUGUUACCUUCUUCCUGCCUCAGUUUCCUCAACUCUCCCUCUGCCUAAGUUGGCAGCUGAGUUUUUACACUUGAUCUUAGCCAAAAGGCCGAGAAGCGAUUGCAGCUGAGUUUUUAAAAGGCUUAUCUUAUACAGACUGUAGGAUAACACCAGACCCCAGCAGCGUUUAAAGAGAACUCGUUAGUGUUACACUGGUUGAGACCACAUUUCUCCUGGGGUUUCCAUUUUUCUCAUUAGAAAGGUAAGGGGUGAGUUGUGGUGGGUUGCGAUGGACUGAAACUGACUUUAUCUGCUUUGUGGGCCAACUGUGCACAGGUCUGCCCAGCAUCCUGCUCACUGAUUGGUAACUUGCAGUUGGCCCUAAUAGGACUGUGAAGACCAUACUCAGUGUCUUACGCUUAGAACACGUAUAUAAACUUACAAAAAGGGAGCAACAGAGUGGAUCCUUAGAAUGUUAAAGGAGUCUUGGCUUAACUGGAGACUGUACUUGCAAACCUUUAUCCCCGAGAGCCACAGUAAACAUGCUUAAGAGUCCUACACACCGGGGUUGGGGAUUUAGCUCAGCAGUAGAGCACUUGCCUAGCAAGCGCAAGGCCCUGGGUUUGGUCCCCAACUCCGAAAAAAAGAAAAAAGAAAAAAAGAAAAAAAAAAAGAGUCCUACACACCAACCGCACCAUGAAGGCAUCUGCAUCUUCACUAAAAUGGGGUGGCUCUGGUUCCACUAAUCAGACAUAGUUGUUCCCUGGUGACUCUCUUAGGGACUGCCUCUCUAAAGAUCUGAGGAAGAAAACUAUGGCUAGAACUCCACCAUGGCCAGAAGGAUUUUCCUACAAAGCACUUUAUCUGCAGAGUGUAAACCUGUCAUUAAGCACCUGCUGUCUGCUGGGUCAAGUUCAAACUCCUUUCCAAAGUCAAAAGAUUCUCUGCAGAUAACUUGGCUCUGUCUCGGUCUCCUCUCUUGUAUGCCCUUUCACCUUACCUGCUCACAAAAUAAAUACCCUUGGAUGCUCUCAG
Molecule: long non-coding RNA, 2151 nt
Filed under: Rattus norvegicus (Norway rat)
Lineage: Eukaryota; Metazoa; Chordata; Mammalia; Rodentia; Muridae
Description: long non-coding RNA NONRATT021475
Source: RNAcentral